Molecule: unclassified non-coding RNA, 260 nt
Filed under: Hevea brasiliensis (rubber tree)
Lineage: Eukaryota; Viridiplantae; Streptophyta; Magnoliopsida; Malpighiales; Euphorbiaceae
Source: RNAcentral
UUCACGCUACCUCUAACACCAGCAUUAUUGACCAAAGCAUCGAUUCCACUAAAGGCUUCCCAAGCCAUCUGUACGGAUCUAUCAAUUGUAGGACCAUCAGCGCAGACGUCAAGUUCCACAGCAACAGCUCGUGAACCAGAACUGUGCUUAUCAUUUGCCGAUGAAGGAGAAGGAAGCUGAUUGAUUUCUUCACACAGAGAUUUGAGACGAUCAACACGGCGAGCGGCCGCGACAAUCCUGCAGCCGGCUUUGGCAAGGUU